UACGGAGGGUGCGAGCGUUAAUCGGAAUGACUGGGCGUAAAGCGCACGUAGGCGGUCGUGUCAGUCCGUUGUGAAAGCCCCGGGCUCAACCUGGGAACGGCAAGGGCGACGGCACGACUGGAGUGGACCAGAGGACCGUGGAAUUCCCGGUGUAGCGGUGAAAUGCGUAGAGAUCGGGAAGAACAUCGAUGGCGAAGGCAGCGGUCUGGGGUCACACUGACGCUGAGGGGCGACAGCGUGGGGAG
RNAcentral lists this ribosomal RNA (245 nucleotides) under uncultured bacterium. Its description in RNAcentral is "partial 16S ribosomal RNA". It matches the Rfam family "Bacterial small subunit ribosomal RNA", at positions 524 to 768 of the family's 1533-position model. The record is from RNAcentral.